AGGAUAAAAGUUUCUUAUAACAUUUAAUUUGCAUUUAAAAAAAAUUGAUUAUUCAAUUUAUCUUA
This 65-nucleotide transfer RNA is filed under the name Scirtidae sp. BMNH 1274304. Its description in RNAcentral is "tRNA-Ala". Lineage: Eukaryota; Metazoa; Arthropoda; Insecta; Coleoptera; Scirtidae. The record is from RNAcentral.